Molecule: ribosomal RNA, 465 nt
Filed under: uncultured bacterium
Lineage: Bacteria
Description: partial 16S ribosomal RNA
Rfam family: Bacterial small subunit ribosomal RNA
Source: RNAcentral
GACGAACGCUGGCGGCGUGCUUAACACAUGCAAGUCGAACGGAAAGGCCCUGCUUGCCGGGUACUCGAGUGGCGAACGGGUGAGUAGCACGUGGGUGAUCUGCCCUGCACUUCGGGAUAAGCCUGGGAAACUGGGUCUAAUACCGGAUAGGAGCCAUUUUUAGUGUGAUGGUUGGAAAGUUUUUUCGGUGUAGGAUGAGCUCGCGGCCUAUCAGCUUGUUGGUGGGGUAAUGGCCUACCAAGGCGGCGACGGGUAGCCGGCCUGAGAGGGUGGACGGCCACAUUGGGACUGAGAUACGGCCCAGACUCCUACGGGAGGCAGCAGUGGGGAAUAUUGCACAAUGGGCGCAAGCCUGAUGCAGCGACGCCGCGUGGGGGAUGACGGCCUUCGGGUUGUAAACUCCUUUCGCUAGGGACGAAGCUUUUUGUGACGGUACCUAGAUAAGAAGCACCGGCUAACUACGUG